Molecule: non-coding RNA, 240 nt
Organism: Pelobates cultripes (western spadefoot toad)
Lineage: Eukaryota; Metazoa; Chordata; Amphibia; Anura; Pelobatidae
Source: the annotation of a GenBank genome assembly
CUAAACAAAAAUCUCUUCAUUGCAGGAGAACAGCAGUAUGAGCCAGGCAUUACAGAACGAUCGCGGCGGCCCUGGUUACACUCUGAUCUGGAGGGGACCUACAGAUAUUUACAGUCAAUUACAAUAAGGUUGCAGAUCUCUGUGAAGUCUAACCACAAAUUAAAAGCCACAGCGAGGCACUUAUGAAAUAGCUUUUUAAUACCAUCUCAUGGUUCUGCAUGCAACCCCAAAGUAAAGUAC